UCUCAGUUCGGAUUGGAGUCUGCAACCCGACUCCAUGAAGCUGGAUUCGCUAGUAAUCGCGCAUCAGCCACGGCGCGGUGAAUACGUUCCCGGGCCUUGUACACACCGCCCGUCAAGCCAUGGGAGCCGGGGGUGCCUGAAGUGCGUGACCGCAAGGAGCGCCCUAAGGUAAAACCGGUGACUGGGGCUAAGUCGUAACAAGGUAGC
This 207-nucleotide ribosomal RNA is filed under the name uncultured bacterium. RNAcentral describes it as "partial 16S ribosomal RNA". It matches the Rfam family "Bacterial small subunit ribosomal RNA", at positions 1286 to 1500 of the family's 1533-position model. The record is from RNAcentral.